GCAGUCGUGGCAGAGUGUUUAAGGCGAUGGACUAGAAAUCCAUUGGGAUCUCCCCGCACAGGUUCGAAUCCUGUCGACUGCG
This 82-nucleotide transfer RNA is filed under the name Ixodes scapularis (black-legged tick). It matches the Rfam family "tRNA". From Rfam's summary of the family: Transfer RNA (tRNA) molecules are approximately 80 nucleotides in length. Lineage: Eukaryota; Metazoa; Arthropoda; Arachnida; Ixodida; Ixodidae. The record is from Rfam by way of RNAcentral.